Molecule: transfer RNA, 72 nt
Filed under: Gallotia atlantica (Atlantic lizard)
Lineage: Eukaryota; Metazoa; Chordata; Lepidosauria; Squamata; Lacertidae
Description: tRNA-Asp
Source: RNAcentral
GAGGCCCUAGUAAACCAAUUACAUGGCCCUGUCAGCGCCAAAUCACAGGUGUCACCAAACCUGUGGGCCUCU